RNAcentral lists this transfer RNA (72 nucleotides) under Flavobacterium anhuiense. Its description in RNAcentral is "tRNA-Ser". It matches the Rfam family "tRNA". From Rfam's summary of the family: Transfer RNA (tRNA) molecules are approximately 80 nucleotides in length. Their secondary structure includes four short double-helical elements and three loops (D, anti-codon, and T loops). Further hydrogen bonds mediate the characteristic L-shaped molecular structure. tRNAs have two regions of fundamental functional importance: the anti-codon, which is responsible for specific mRNA codon recognition, and the 3' end, to which the tRNAs corresponding amino acid is attached (by aminoacyl-tRNA synthetases). tRNAs cope with the degeneracy of the genetic code in two manners: having more than one tRNA (with a specific anti-codon) for a particular amino acid; and 'wobble' base-pairing, i.e. permitting non-standard base-pairing at the 3rd anti-codon position. Lineage: Bacteria; Pseudomonadati; Bacteroidota; Flavobacteriia; Flavobacteriales; Flavobacteriaceae. The record is from RNAcentral.
GCCUUGCUAGUUCAACGGAUAGAACGAGGACCUGCUAAGUCCGCGAUGGGGGUUCGAUUCCCCCGUGAGAUU